Molecule: ribosomal RNA, 565 nt
Filed under: uncultured Glomeromycotina
Lineage: Eukaryota; Fungi; Glomeromycota
Description: SSU rRNA
Rfam family: Eukaryotic small subunit ribosomal RNA
Source: RNAcentral
UUGGAGGGCAAGUCUGGUGCCAGCAGCCGCGGUAAUUCCAGCUCCAAUAGCGUAUAUUAAAGUUGUUGCAGUUAAAAAGCUCGUAGUUGAAUUUCGGGGUCAGUAGGUUGGUCAUGCCACUGGUAUGUACUGGUCUCACUGACUCCUCCUUCCUGAUGAGCCGUAAUGCCAUUAAUUUGGUGUUGCGAGGAAUCUGGACUGUUACUUUGAAAAAAUUAGAGUGUUUAAAGCAAGCUUACGCUUGAAUACAUUAGCAUGGAAUAAUGAAAUAGGACGUUCGAUCCUAUUUUGUUGGUUUCUAGGAUUGACGUAAUGAUUAAUAGGGAUAGUUGGGGGCAUUAGUAUUCAAUUGUCAGAGGUGAAAUUCUUGGAUUUAUUGAAGACUAACUACUGCGAAAGCAUUUGCCAAGGAUGUUUUCAUUAAUCAAGAACGAAAGUUAGGGGAUCGAAGACGAUCAGAUACCGUCGUAGUCUUAACCAUAAACUAUGCCGACUAGGGAUCGGAUGAUGUUAAUUUUUUAAUGACUCGUUUGGCACCUUACGGGAAACCAAAGUGUUUGGGUUC